RNAcentral lists this ribosomal RNA (344 nucleotides) under uncultured Verrucomicrobiota bacterium. RNAcentral's name for it is "bacterial SSU rRNA". It matches the Rfam family "Bacterial small subunit ribosomal RNA", at positions 29 to 351 of the family's 1533-position model. Lineage: Bacteria; Pseudomonadati; Verrucomicrobiota. The record is from RNAcentral.
AACGAACGCUGGCGGCGUGGAUAAGACAUGCAAGUCGAGCGCUCAUUCCAGGGUAGCAAUAUUCUGGAGUGGGAGCGGCGCAAGGGUGCGUAACACGUGGGUAAUCUGCCGUGAAGUUGGGGACAACUCGCUGAAAGGCGAGCUAAUACCGAAUGUGGUCACCGGGAGGCAUCUUUCGGUGAUUGAAGUUGGGGACCGUAAGGCCUGACGCUUCACGAUGAGCCCGCGGCCUAUCAGCUUGUUGGCGAGGUAACGGCUCACCAAGGCUAAGACGGGUAGCUGGUCUGAGAGGACGACCAGCCACACUGGAACUGAGACACGGUCCAGACACCUACGGGUGGCAG